Molecule: transfer RNA, 73 nt
Filed under: Myotis lucifugus (little brown bat)
Lineage: Eukaryota; Metazoa; Chordata; Mammalia; Chiroptera; Vespertilionidae
Rfam family: tRNA
About the family: Transfer RNA (tRNA) molecules are approximately 80 nucleotides in length. Their secondary structure includes four short double-helical elements and three loops (D, anti-codon, and T loops). Further hydrogen bonds mediate the characteristic L-shaped molecular structure. tRNAs have two regions of fundamental functional importance: the anti-codon, which is responsible for specific mRNA codon recognition, and the 3' end, to which the tRNAs corresponding amino acid is attached (by aminoacyl-tRNA synthetases). tRNAs cope with the degeneracy of the genetic code in two manners: having more than one tRNA (with a specific anti-codon) for a particular amino acid; and 'wobble' base-pairing, i.e. permitting non-standard base-pairing at the 3rd anti-codon position.
Source: Rfam by way of RNAcentral
GGCUGGGUGGUUCAGUUGGUUGGAGCAUUGUCCUAUACACAAAAGGUUGCAGGUUUGAUUCCUGCUCAGGGCA